This 329-nucleotide unclassified non-coding RNA is filed under the name soil metagenome. RNAcentral describes it as "partial contains 5.8S ribosomal RNA, internal transcribed spacer 2, and large subunit ribosomal RNA". The stretch from base 1 to 120 matches the Rfam family "5.8S ribosomal RNA", at positions 35 to 154 of the family's 154-position model. The record is from RNAcentral.
GAUGAAGAACGCAGCGAAAUGCGAUAAGUAAUGUGAAUUGCAGAAUUCAGUGAAUCAUCGAAUCUUUGAACGCACAUUGCGCCCCCUGGUAUUCCGGGGGGCAUGCCUGUCCGAGCGUCAUUACAACCCUCAAGCUCAGCUUGGUGUUGGGCCCCGCCGCCCCGGCGGGCCCUAAAGUCAGUGGCGGUGCCGUCCGGCUCCGAGCGUAGUAAUUCUUCUCGCUCUGGGCGUGCUGCGGGUUCCGGCCGUUAAAAGCCUUAUUUACCCAAGGUUGACCUCGGAUCAGGUAGGAAGACCCGCUGAACUUAAGCAUAUCAAUAAGCGGAGGA